RNAcentral lists this long non-coding RNA (325 nucleotides) under Capsella rubella. RNAcentral describes it as "long non-coding RNA (CRUB_LNC003462)". The record is from RNAcentral. Lineage: Eukaryota; Viridiplantae; Streptophyta; Magnoliopsida; Brassicales; Brassicaceae.
AGGAGAAGAAUUCGUAAGCAAAUACAAAGGAAACUACACAUUCACAGGGGGAAAAGCGGUAGGUUACAGAAACCUGUUUGGGGUACCGUGGACUUCAUUCAUGGCCGAGGAUAGUCUGCAUUUCAUCAAUGGGAUUCUCCAUCUCAGAGCUGAGCUCACUAUUAAACGUUCCACAGACCUUCACUGACUGUUCUUUCUCUAAAUCUCUUUCUAUCAAUCUCCAUCUAUAUAUAUAUAAAAGUUGUAUUAUCUCGUCAUGUAGCAGCUCUAACAACCACGAGUGUCUUUUAUAAUUUGCUUUGAGCAGAAAAAGUAAGGUUUAAGG